Molecule: long non-coding RNA, 482 nt
Filed under: Elaeis guineensis (African oil palm)
Lineage: Eukaryota; Viridiplantae; Streptophyta; Magnoliopsida; Arecales; Arecaceae
Description: long non-coding RNA (EGUI_LNC056893)
Source: RNAcentral
CUGUCACGGCCUUCAGACUUUCAUCUAAGAAGCUGGCUUGCAAAAGCUCAAUAAUGUCAGUAAGAAGGUGCGCCCGAGCCAUUAUCUUAAACCUCUCGAAACCUACAGAGAAUGUUAUCUUGCAGGCCUGAUUUAUAAUCUUGGCCCCUCUUCUCGCCAACCGAUCUAUCCUCUUGAGAGUAUUUGUAGUUAGAAGCUUCUGAUCUAAGAGUCAGCAGUGGAGAAAAGUCUGAUCUUCUCUCUCCUCCUUCAGCUUUUCCUUCAGGCACUCUACAUUUGUCAGAGCCUCUUGAAGUUUGCUCAAAAGUGCAAACAGCUCUUGAGUCACUCGAAUCCUCUUGAAGGCGGAGCCUUCAUCCCUCUGAGGUAUUUUUCUUUUGCAGCUUGCUCCAUUCGAGGUUUUGACCCUUUUAGCUGAGCUCUUACUGGGGCUCCUUUGGGAAUGAAUCUCAAGAGGGGUAGAGUUUCAACCCCAUCUUCCU